Molecule: ribosomal RNA, 498 nt
Filed under: uncultured bacterium
Lineage: Bacteria
Description: bacterial SSU rRNA
Rfam family: Bacterial small subunit ribosomal RNA
Source: RNAcentral
AUUGAACGCUGGCGGCAGGCCUAACACAUGCAAGUCGAGCGGUAGAGAGAAGCUUGCUUCUCUUGAGAGCGGCGGACGGGUGAGUAAUGCCUAGGAAUCUGCCUGGUAGUGGGGGAUAACGUUCGGAAACGGACGCUAAUACCGCAUACGUCCUACGGGAGAAAGCAGGGGACCUUCGGGCCUUGCGCUAUCAGAUGAGCCUAGGUCGGAUUAGCUAGUUGGUGAGGUAAUGGCUCACCAAGGCGACGAUCCGUAACUGGUCUGAGAGGAUGAUCAGUCACACUGGAACUGAGACACGGUCCAGACUCCUACGGGAGGCAGCAGUGGGGAAUAUUGGACAAUGGGCGAAAGCCUGAUCCAGCCAUGCCGCGUGUGAAGAAGGUCUUCGGAUUGUAAAGCACUUUAAGUUGGGAGGAAGGGCAGUUACCUAAUACGUGAUUGUUUGACGUUACCGACAGAAUAAGCACCGGCUAACUCUGUGCCAGCAGCCGCGGUAAU